UCUGUCUGAACAAAGGCUGAUCUAGUCCAUAGCAACCAUACUACUCACUAAACUGGGAGAAUGGAACCAGUGAGGAAGGCUGCGUGGAGGAAGUUCCAUUUCUGAGGGCAGUGGGAGGUUUCCUAGGUAAAGGACUUGGGGCCUUCGGCUGGAGGUGAGGUGAGGCUGGGCUCAUUUGGAAGGGAAGAAAUAGAGAGCGGCUUGAAUUCCAAGGUGGGUUUCUUGUGUGGGGUUAUGGAGGCACCCAAACUUACACUUGGUUCAUGAGAGGUAUAGAAAGCAGGGCUGAAUAUGUGGGGGAGGGGGCAUG
RNAcentral lists this long non-coding RNA (310 nucleotides) under Bos taurus (domestic cattle). RNAcentral's name for it is "long non-coding RNA NONBTAT018960". The record is from RNAcentral. Lineage: Eukaryota; Metazoa; Chordata; Mammalia; Artiodactyla; Bovidae.